RNAcentral lists this ribosomal RNA (843 nucleotides) under uncultured bacterium. RNAcentral describes it as "bacterial SSU rRNA". It matches the Rfam family "Bacterial small subunit ribosomal RNA", at positions 28 to 916 of the family's 1533-position model. The record is from RNAcentral.
AGCGAACGCUGGCGGCAGGCUUAACACAUGCAAGUCGAGCGGGCAUAGCAAUAUGUCAGCGGCAGACGGGUGAGUAACGCGUGGGAACGUACCUUUUGGUUCGGAACAACACAGGGAAACUUGUGCUAAUACCGGAUAAGCCCUUACGGGGAAAGAUUUAUCGCCGAAAGAUCGGCCCGCGUCUGAUUAGCUAGUUGGUGAGGUAAUGGCUCACCAAGGCGACGAUCAGUAGCUGGUCUGAGAGGAUGAUCAGCCACAUUGGGACUGAGACACGGCUCAAACUCCUACGGGAGGCAGCAGUGGGGAAUAUUGGACAAUGGGCGCAAGCCUGAUCCAGCCAUGCCGCGUGAGUGAUGAAGGCCCUAGGGUUGUAAAGCUCUUUUGUGCGGGAAGAUAAUGACGGUACCGCAAGAAUAAGCCCCGGCUAACUUCGUGCCAGCAGCCGCGGUAAUACGAAGGGGGCUAGCGUUGCUCGGAAUCACUGGGCGUAAAGGGUGCGUAGGCGGGUCUUUAAGUCAGGGGUGAAAUCCUGGAGCUCAACUCCAGAACUGCCUUUGAUACUGAAGAUCUUGAGUUCGGGAGGGGUGAGCGGAACUGCGAGUGUAGAGGUGAAAUUCGUAGAUAUUCGCAAGAACACCAGUGGCGAAGGCGGCUCACUGGCCCGAUACUGACGCUGAGGCACGAAAGCGUGGGGAGCAAACAGGAUUAGGUACCCUGGUAGUCCACGCCGUAAACGAUGAAUGCCAGCCGUUAGUGGGUUUACUCACUAGUGGCGCAGCUAACGCUUUAAGCAUUCCGCCUGGGGAGUACGGUCGCAAGAUUAAAACUCAAAGGAAUUGACGG